RNAcentral lists this unclassified non-coding RNA (391 nucleotides) under Hevea brasiliensis (rubber tree). The record is from RNAcentral. Lineage: Eukaryota; Viridiplantae; Streptophyta; Magnoliopsida; Malpighiales; Euphorbiaceae.
GAACAAACCAAUCCUGAUUCCGGAGAGGAGAGGAAGACCCACAGAGAGGCGACCGGAGUAGACGGGGGAUUCGGCGGAGCCGCGAGGAAAGAAUCCCUUUCCCUUGCGGUGAAGAAGGACGGUUUCGAUCUUUUAUACGUUAACUUUACUAAGCUUUCGACAAGAAACUGCGAUUUAGACUGCCCUUUCUCCCGUCACCACUCAGUCAAAUCACGAAUUGAUGGGGGCUUUGUUAUAAUUGAAGGGAUUUGGAAUAUAUUUGGUCUGCAGGCUCAGCUUCAUUGUUCCUGUGGAUGUAUCUUGUCGUCAUUCAAGAAGAAGAUCGGCUUGUGAAUUUGCCCAAAUCCUUUCUGGGUAUUCUCAGGCCGCCUUGUCUGUCUGUUGAGAGAAA